This 497-nucleotide ribosomal RNA is filed under the name uncultured bacterium. RNAcentral's name for it is "partial 16S ribosomal RNA". It matches the Rfam family "Bacterial small subunit ribosomal RNA", at positions 28 to 507 of the family's 1533-position model. The record is from RNAcentral.
GAUGAACGCUGGCGGCGUGCCUAAUACAUGCAAGUCGAGCGAACAGACGAGGAGCUUGCUCCUCUGACGUUAGCGGCGGACGGGUGAGUAACACGUGGAUAACCUACCUAUAAGACUGGGAUAACUUCGGGAAACCGGAGCUAAUACCGGAUAAUAUAUUGAACCGCAUGGUUCAAUAGUGAAAGACGGUUUUGCUGUCACUUAUAGAUGGAUCCGCGGCGCAUUAGCUAGUUGGUAAGGUAACGGCUUACCAAGGCAACGGUGCGUAGCCGUCCUGAGAGGGUGGUCGGCCACACUGGAUCUGAGAAACGGUCCAGACUCCUACUGGAGGCAGCAGUAGGGAAUCUUCCUCAAUGAGCGAAAGCCUGACGUAAGUACUCCGCUUGGGUGGUGAAGGUCUUCGGAUCGUGAAGCUCUGUUAUUAGGGAAGUACAAAUGUGUAAGUAACUAUGCACAUCUUGACGGUACCUAAUCAGAAAGCGACGGCUAACUACGUG